AUUGAACGCUGGCGGCAGGCCUAACACAUGCAAGUCGAGCGGAUGAAGGGAGCUUGCUCCUGGAUUCAGCGGCGGACGGGUGAGUAAUGCCUAGGAAUCUGCCUGGUAGUGGGGGAUAACGUCCGGAAACGGGCGCUAAUACCGCAUACGUCCUGAGGGAGAAAGUGGGGAAUCUUCGGACCUCCCGCUAUCAGAUGAGCCUAGGUCGGAUUAGCUAGUUGGUGGGGUAAAGGCCUACCAAGGCGACGAUCCGUAACUGGUCUGAGAGGAUGAUCAGUCACACUGGAACUGAGACACGGUCCAGACUCCUACGGGAGGCAGCAGUGGGGAAUAUUGGACAAUGGGCGAAAGCCUGAUCCAGCCAUGCCGCGUGUGUGAAGAAGGUCUUCGGAUUGUAAAGCACUUUAAGUUGGGAGGAAGGGCAGUAAGUUAAUACCUCGCUGUUUUGACGUUACCAACAGAAUAAGCACCGGCUAACUUCGUG
RNAcentral lists this ribosomal RNA (484 nucleotides) under uncultured bacterium. RNAcentral's name for it is "partial 16S ribosomal RNA". It matches the Rfam family "Bacterial small subunit ribosomal RNA", at positions 30 to 507 of the family's 1533-position model. The record is from RNAcentral.